UGACCAAUACUCCUUUUGCCAUUCGCCACCAGUGUUGUGCCUCACCUUCUAACAUAAAAACUGCCAAGGCCACCUUCCUAUCAUCAGGACAUUUCAUAACCUCGAAUAUUUUUUCCAAUUGCAUAAUCCAUCCCUCGGCUUCCAGUGGGUUUACAGCACCCUUAAAAGAAGGUGGGUUUAAUUUUUUAAAUUGUUCGAUAUUGCUCCCACCAUUUCCUGUAACUGACUGCCUGGGUGGAUUGUUGUUUUCCAUCUGAUGUUGCAUUAGAGCAACCAUAUUUUCCAAGGCUUUGUGAAUUCCUU
RNAcentral lists this long non-coding RNA (303 nucleotides) under Amborella trichopoda. RNAcentral describes it as "long non-coding RNA (ATRI_LNC000820)". The record is from RNAcentral. Lineage: Eukaryota; Viridiplantae; Streptophyta; Magnoliopsida; Amborellales; Amborellaceae.